RNAcentral lists this ribosomal RNA (612 nucleotides) under uncultured bacterium. RNAcentral's name for it is "bacterial SSU rRNA". It matches the Rfam family "Bacterial small subunit ribosomal RNA", at positions 97 to 726 of the family's 1533-position model. The record is from RNAcentral.
GGCGAACGGGUGAGUAACACGUAGGUGACCUGCCGCGCAGAGGGGGAUAACGACUGGAAACGGUCGCUAAUACCGCAUGGUACUAGGGGGUAGGGAUACCCUUUGGUUAAAACUUUGGUGCUGCGCGAGGGGCCUGCGUCCGAUUAGUUAGUUGGUGAGGUAACGGCUCACCAAGACUGUGAUCGGUAGCUAGUCUGAGAGGAUGAUUAGCCACACGGGAACUGAGACACGGUCCCGACUCCUACGGGGGGCAGCAGUGAGGAAUAUUGCACAAUGGACGCAAGUCUGAUGCAGCAACGCCGCGUGGAGGAUGAAGGUCUUUGGAUUGUAAACUCCUUUUCUCAGGGAAGAGAAUGGACGGUACCUGAGGAAUAAGUCACGGCUAACUACGUGCCAGCAGCCGCGGUAAUACGUAGGUGGCGAGCGUUAUCCGGAAUUACUGGGCGUAAAGCGCACGCAGGCGGUCUCUUAAGUUUGACGCGAAAGCUCCCGGCUUAACUGGGAGAGGUCGUUGAAUACUGGGGGACUUGAGGCAAUGAGAGGGAUGCAGAAUUCCAGGUGUAGUGGUGGAAUGCGUAGAUAUCUGGAGGAAUACCAGUGGCGAAAGCGGCA